This 506-nucleotide ribosomal RNA is filed under the name uncultured bacterium. RNAcentral's name for it is "bacterial SSU rRNA". It matches the Rfam family "Bacterial small subunit ribosomal RNA", at positions 15 to 507 of the family's 1533-position model. The record is from RNAcentral.
GAUCAUGGCUCAGGAUGAACGCUAGCUACAGGCUUAACACAUGGCAAGUCGAGGGGGCAGCAUGAACAAGCUUGCUUUGUUUGAUGGCGACCGGCGCACGGGUGCGUAACACGUAUCCAAUCUGCCCGCGGCUCGGGGAUAGCCCAUCGAAAGAUGGAUUAAUACCCGAUGGUGUGGUUUCUCCGCAUGGGGGUUUCCACUAAAAGGUUUUCCGGCCGCGGAUGAGGAUGCGUAUGAUUAGGUAGUAGGCGGGGUAACGGCCCACCUAGCCUUCGAUCAUUAGGGGUUCUGAGAGGAAGGUCCCCCACACUGGAACUGAGACACGGUCCAGACUCCUACGGGAGGCAGCAGUGAGGAAUAUUGGUCAAUGGGCGAGAGCCUGAACCAGCCAAGUAGCGUGAAGGAUGACUGCCCUAUGGGUUGUAAACUUCUUUUGUUCGGGAAUAAAGUGCAGUACGUGUACUGUUUUGUAUGUACCGUUCGAAUAAGCAUCGGCUAAUUCCGUG